Molecule: small nucleolar RNA, 130 nt
Organism: Phyllostomus discolor (pale spear-nosed bat)
Lineage: Eukaryota; Metazoa; Chordata; Mammalia; Chiroptera; Phyllostomidae
Product: small nucleolar RNA SNORA11
Exons: 1
Source: RefSeq, a predicted model, not a curated record
CGGGCGUGCUCGGAGCAGGGGGACUGCAGAGACAGCUCCUCGGUGCACGACACACCCAACCAGAGUUUGGGGUCGUUGUGUCGAGGGGCACAGAACUCGUGCCCUUCCUAUGAACAAACACCCUACAUGU